CGAUUAGCGUCACAUCACAGCUAAUUUUAGUAUUUGAAUGCCCCCAGGUUCAAUAACUGAUUGUAUUCUGGAAUUAAACUGGUUAACAUGAAAAAUCAUCGGCUUUUGACCAAACUUUUGACCGAUAAUUUAACUUCUGCUGAUGCUCCAGGUCGACAGAACAGUGAAGUCAACCAUUUCCAUCAGACUUUGAAGACUUUGUUUUGCUGCCGAAGAGAUGCCAAGGCUUGUGGUCAUGAAACCUCUCAGGCGUCGAGUCAUGUUGAUGUCAGAUUGGCACGACACAUGUGUUACACCACGGCACCACAGCGAGCUGAUGGGGAAAGAGUGUGAGAAAAAUGGACUCUGGAAGAUGUUUUCCCUCCUGGUUUUUACAACCCCUGGCCCUCCUUCACAUCCUCCUGCACUCAUUUAUUCCCUUUUCCCUCAGCUUGAAAACGUCAAGGAUGAAAGAGAGUGUGACAUCACCAUUUUGAUAAUUGGCGUCUAAUAUUUCUGGGCGACUGUGGCUGACAGCUAUUGGUGGAUAAAGUCUUAAAAGUGCGGGGAAAAAUAUGUGCCAAUGUUACACUGGCAUCUGAUUCUGAUUUACUUUUUUUAUCCCAAAACCUAUUUUGCAUGGUUGUAAACCAUUAGAAAGUACAAAUAAAAGUAAAUAAAUAUUAAUAAGAGGCCAGAAAAUCUCAUCUCUAGAGAUGAGGCAGUUGGUGUUUUUAAGUUGUUCUUGAAUGUCAACAUUCAAAUACAAUAAAUGUUGAGGUCAGAAU
This 767-nucleotide long non-coding RNA is filed under the name Danio rerio (zebrafish). RNAcentral's name for it is "lncRNA si:ch211-129n15.7 (ENSDARG00000096358.3)". Lineage: Eukaryota; Metazoa; Chordata; Actinopteri; Cypriniformes; Danionidae. The record is from RNAcentral.